CCUACGGGUGGCUGCAGUGGGGAAUAUUGCACAAUGGGGGAAACCCUGAUGCAGCGACGCCGCGUGAGUGAAGAAGUACUUCGGUAUGUAAAGCUCUAUCAGCUGGGAAGAAGAAAGACGAUACCUGACUAAGAAGCCCCGGCGAACUACGUGCCAGGAGCCGCGGUAAUACGUAGGCGGCAAGCGUUAUCCGGAUUUACUGGGGGUAAAGGGAGCGUAGGCGGGUGUGUAAGUCUGAAGUGAAAGCCCAGGGCUCAACCCUGGGACUGCUUUGGAAACUGUGGAGCUAGAGUGCUGGAGAGGUAAGUGGAAUUCCUAGUGUAGCGGUGAAAUGCGUAGAUAUUAGGAGGAACACCAGUGGCGAAGGCAGCUUACUGGACAGUAACUGACGUUGAGGCUCGAAAGCGUGGGGAGCAAACAGGAUUAGAUACCCGGGUAGUC
This 441-nucleotide ribosomal RNA is filed under the name uncultured bacterium. RNAcentral describes it as "partial 16S ribosomal RNA". It matches the Rfam family "Bacterial small subunit ribosomal RNA", at positions 338 to 795 of the family's 1533-position model. The record is from RNAcentral.